RNAcentral lists this long non-coding RNA (1665 nucleotides) under Triticum aestivum (bread wheat). Its description in RNAcentral is "long non-coding RNA (TAES_LNC005115)". The record is from RNAcentral. Lineage: Eukaryota; Viridiplantae; Streptophyta; Magnoliopsida; Poales; Poaceae.
GUAACUACUCACCUCUACUGUUACCACCUAAGCCCAAUCCUGAUAGCAAAUUUGUAGCUUCCUCGAAGAUUCCUGUCGAUAGCAAUAUUAAUUACAGCCUUUGUACUUCACGCGACAGAGGAAACACACAGCUUAUGUGCUCUUAUAAUUACUUACCAUCAAACAAUUCUAGAUUGUCAACAGCUCGUUCGACCAAGUUCAGAGCUGCUAUGGCCAGGCUCCUCAGCCGUUCGGCUCUCCCAUUGUUAGCUGGCUCAUCAAUAUCGUCCGAGACAACUAGGUUCGAUUCAUGUAUCCUGAGCGACAAACCCUUCUGACUUCUUGUGUCUACAAGACCAAACAAACAGGCUUAUAAUUGUUGCAAAGUUAGGCUUCACUUGAUUUUCAUUUCCACAUAUUAACAGAUAAGAAUUACUAUAACUAAACAAAGCAUAUGGACGCUCACAUUCGAUGAGUUUUUAGCCUGUUGCUUAUUGCCGUUAGUUCAUCUGACGGAUUAUUUCCAUCCACAGCUCGACGGACCAAACCCCCUUCCGUUGAGAUCCCUUCACUGUUCAGAGCCCUCGAAAGCACACUGCUGCUGCUUCCUCCUUGCCACCCAGUGCCUCUAUACUGAAGUUUGGCCCUCACCCGGCUCAAACUACGUGGUGCUCGCACUGUCACCAACAAAAUUCGAAUGCACUUACAUAUUAGGAAAAUUUAUAAUGGAUUUGCUUAUUCGGACAUUUUAUUGAUUUACUUAUGCCUGUACGAACCUGCGAUCGGCACAUUCUCUAAACCACCUGAGAUAUGGAUGCUCCCUGGUCGGCGGUUCGUUUGUAUUGGUUCACCUGCAAUUGGAGCAAGGUAGACAUCAGUCGACACAUUUUUUCUUUAUGUUUACUUCAUUCUUGUACACAAAUUCCAACCUCUGUUCUCAGCCCUUUGCAGUCUUCUAGCAGCUCAUUCGUGUGGGUGUACAUAGUGGUCAUCACUGUCGCUACUCGAUGAUUCAAUUUGUUCAUCCAUUUUCUCUUUUCCCUUGCCUGGAGCAUGCUCACCAGAGGUUCCACUGUCUGUAUGCUCUGCUCUCCCCGGCCUAGAUUCCCUGUCUGACAUACGCCUGACUUGAGCAGUCACAAUCUCUGGUUGAACUUGCUGCAAAGCCUCCAUCUGCGCUGCAAUGGUGAACAAACAUUUUGCUUUCAGAAGCUUCAUUGUUGUCCUCUAAUAACAAUAUUUAUAUUCUAUGCACAUACACUAUAAUAUCUGUCAUAGAGUAUUUUAUAUUCUUAUUCCACUUUUUUUAAUUCUGCUAUAUGCUUGACUCAUGUAUUUCUGUGGUUUGUUUUCUACAGACAUAUGACGCUCAUAGAUGCUUACAUGGAUUAACCUAUAAGCCACCAGGCUGUCCAACAAUUGGAUUCCACACCUCAUCUAUGCCAUCAAGGUAGCCCACUGGUUUUGUCUGCCCAACACGAAAUCAUCGUGUCAGCAAAACAUUUUAUGUAUAAUACACAUGCGAAGGAAGAAGUGUCACGUCAUAUAAGAACACCCAAGGCUGUGUGAUGUCAAAGUAAUCGUUGCCAAGUUAGUGUCAACAGUUGUACAAACCAAAGUGUUAUGAAAGAUGAUGUAUUAUUUUAACUUACAAUGAUAGCCAAGUGGCAACCUGGUAAUCUUAAU